RNAcentral lists this unclassified non-coding RNA (371 nucleotides) under uncultured bacterium. RNAcentral's name for it is "contains 16S-23S intergenic spacer region". The record is from RNAcentral.
UCCUCUUUACAGAGGCAGUUUGUUCCGAGUCCCCGGCAUUACCCGCUGGUAACAGAACAUGAGGGUUGCGCUCGUUGCGGGACUUAACCCAACAUUUCACAACACGAGCUGACGACAGCCAUGCACCACCUGUGCAGCACCUUCGAAAGCGGCUCCGUUUCGGGAGCUUGCAGCUGCAUGUCAAGCCCUGGUAAGGUUCUUCGCGUUGCAUCGAAUUAAGCCAUAUGCUCCACCGCUUGUGCGGGCCCCCGCCAAUUCCUUUGAGUUUUAAUCUUGCGAUCGUAGUUCCCAGGCGGAUCACUUAAUGCGUUAGCUGCGGCACCGAGGCAAAGCCCCAACACCUAGUGAUCAUCGUUUAUGGCCAAGACUAC